This 29-nucleotide non-coding RNA is filed under the name Mus musculus (house mouse). Lineage: Eukaryota; Metazoa; Chordata; Mammalia; Rodentia; Muridae. The record is from RNAcentral.
UGCUGUUGAUGAUGCUGUGUACUGCCGAG